RNAcentral lists this ribosomal RNA (415 nucleotides) under Dysdera madai. Its description in RNAcentral is "partial 16S ribosomal RNA". It matches the Rfam family "Bacterial large subunit ribosomal RNA", at positions 1817 to 2586 of the family's 2925-position model. The record is from RNAcentral. Lineage: Eukaryota; Metazoa; Arthropoda; Arachnida; Araneae; Dysderidae.
AGCUUUUUGUUUUUACAAAAAGUAACUCCUGCUCAGUGAACUUUAACAGCCGCAGAAUUUAUACUGUGCUAAGGUAGCAUAAUCACUUGUCUUUUAAUUAAAGAAUAGAAUGAACGGAAAAACGAAUUUAAACCUGUUUCAUUUUUUUGUAAUAAAAUUACCAAAAAGUAAAAACACUUUUUUUUAAAAAAAAGACGAUAAGACCCUAAAGAACUUCACUUAAGUUAAGCUGGGGCGGCUUUUUUAAAAAAAUCUUAUUAUAAAUUUUUCACUCCUUUAUUAAUUUCACAACGUUACCUUAGGGAUAACAGCAUAAUUUAAUUUAAUAGCUCUUAUUUAAAAUUAAGAUUAUGACCUCGAUGUUGAAUUAAAAAUCUUUUAAACGUAAAAAAUUAAAAAGAAAGUCUGUUCGACU